This 907-nucleotide ribosomal RNA is filed under the name Paraeutypella citricola. RNAcentral describes it as "LSU rRNA". It matches the Rfam family "Eukaryotic large subunit ribosomal RNA", at positions 35 to 965 of the family's 3401-position model. Lineage: Eukaryota; Fungi; Ascomycota; Sordariomycetes; Xylariales; Diatrypaceae. The record is from RNAcentral.
UAAGCAUAUCAAUAAGCGGAGGAAAAGAAACCAACAGGGAUUGCCCUAGUAACGGCGAGUGAAGCGGCAACAGCUCAAAUUUGAAAUCUGGCCCUAGUGGUCCGAAUUGUAAUUUGUAGAGGAUGCUUUGGGCGCGGUGCCUUCCGAGUUCCUUGGAACAGGACGCCUUAGAGGGUGAGAGCCCCGUACGGUUGGACACCAAGCCUAUGUAAAGCUCCUUCGACGAGUCGAGUAGUUUGGGAAUGCUGCUCUAAAUGGGAGGUAAAUUUCUUCUAAAGCUAAAUACCGGCCAGAGACCGAUAGCGCACAAGUAGAGUGAUCGAAAGAUGAAAAGUACUUUGAAAAGAGGGUUAAAUAGCACGUGAAAUUGUUGAAAGGGAAGCAUUUAUGACCAGACCUUUGCUAGGUGGAUCAUCCGGUGUUCUUCACCGGUGCACUUCGCCUAGCUUAGGCCAGCAUCGAUUUCUGUAGGGGGAUAAAGGUCUAGGGAACGUAGCUCUCUUCGGAGAGUGUUAUAGCCCUGGGCGUAAUACCCUUACGGGGAUCGAGGUUCGCGCUUCGGCAAGGAUGCUGGCAUAAUGGUCAUCAAUGACCCGUCUUGAAACACGGACCAAGGAGUCGAACAUUUAUGCGAGUGUUUGGGUGUCAAACCCUCACGCGUAAUGAAAGUGAACGGAGGUGAGAGCCCUUACGGGUGCAUCAUCGACCGAUCCUGAUGUCUUCGGAUGGAUUUGAGUAAGAGCAUAACUGUUCGGACCCGAAAGAUGGUGAACUAUGCGUGGAUAGGGUGAAGCCAGAGGAAACUCUGGUGGAGGCUCGCAGCGGUUCUGACGUGCAAAUCGAUCGUCAAAUCUGCGCAUGGGGGCGAAAGACUUAUCGAACCAUCUAGUAGCUGGUUACCGCCGAA